UAUUCAUCAAAUUUAUUCAUGAAACAGACAAAAUUGUGUCACACAGAAAAAUACAGGUUCAAAGCACCACAACGUUAGCCUGAUAUCAGACAGAAUUAUCACAUGAUAUUAAACAGAAGCUGUGACUGGGCAAUGAUAAUGAAGCAGUUCAUUUCAAAGUUGUAGAUUCGAGCUGCUCUUCAUACUUUUGGCCAAUACAAGCUUCAACACUUCAGAAAGCUUCAUUUGGCCAUCACUAACAGCAGUACUUGUAGUCUGGAGUAUAAGUAGACUAGACUAGAGUGCAAUCAAAUACACCUGCCUUCAAUGAACCCAGCCCAAUCACAGCCACUGGCUCACAGCAGUUGUGAAACAAACCCACUCACACAUCAGUGGCCAUUUCCCACAGUAAAUGUGGAGGUGAGUUAAUAUGCAGGUGAUACCAGGCUACCAUCUUACACAGCUGAUUACAAAUUUAUAAACAACCUCUUGCAGCCUCACUUUGACAUCACUGGUAUAAAGAAACUGAAAUCCUGCCGCCCAAUCCUACAAACAGGUAAUCUGUGAGAUUACACUCUUUUUCAGACAUUAGUGGUUAAAAUGAUAAAUUGCAAACAAAGAUGAAUAUUCAGAAAGAUAAGGUGGAAGGUUUUAGGAGAGCUCAUUUAUUUGAACACUUUCUAAAUGUUUUUUUUUUAAGUUUUCUAAACAAUGAAUCAAUGAAUGCGGAUCAAUGAGGGGAAAAAUUAUUUUUUCAGUCCUGUGCAUUCUUGCCUACACCAACUCUAGGCCUUAAAAUCCACUCAGCAGUUUACCCUGGUAUAAUUGGCUUUUCUACAGUGAGUCAUGGCACCACAGAUGAGCUGAGCCAUGUGGACCAUAUAGACUUGUGGAGUUCUGGCGGCAGCCUUGAAGGAAGUCUCCCCAUGGCAGAGCUCACUGCAUGGGUGGGGAGUGCUCUCAAUAAGGAGACGAGGAACAACAUCUUUGAGGCUGCUGAAGCUGUUUCCAGCUCUGUCACAGAGGAACAGUUUUGCUGUCCCACAGAACCAGAAUGUCAAAAGCACUAUGUGUGAGAAUGAAGAAAAGCGCCAGGUGGUCAAAGGAAGGACCCGGGGGCUGUUCUCAGAUAGCCAGAUAAAAACCUCUUGUCCAUCACUUUAACCAAAAACGUUACCAUGACCCACGGGAGAUGACAGAGGUGACAGGACUGACCUACAAACAGGUGAAGACUUGGUUUCAAAACCGAAGAAGAAAGUUUAGGAAGAUUCCAGAUUCUCAGCAUCUCAAUCAGGGCGUCCCGCUUCAUGUAAGUAUCUCCAAUUAUUAAACAGAACUGUUUUUAAUUCAGUCACUAUCUUGGGAAUUAAUUGCAUUUGGUGAAAUGUAUUGACUAUAAUUACACAAGAACUGACUCUGCAUCUUUCAGUGAUUCAGUUUCAGGGAGUACACCCAACACCUGGAGGUAAACUCAAUCACGAAGGGUGCAAAUUAUCAGGGCCCCUAUCAUCAUCCUGUGGGCAAGGUUGUGCCUGGACCUCAAUGGACCCUCCACAAAAAAAACAAAACAAACAAA
This is a long non-coding RNA of Haplochromis burtoni (Burton's mouthbrooder), 1555 nucleotides long. RefSeq lists it as uncharacterized. NCBI's taxonomy places the organism in Eukaryota, Metazoa, Chordata, Actinopteri, Cichliformes, Cichlidae. The record is from RefSeq and is a predicted model, not a curated record. The transcript is spliced from 2 exons.